RNAcentral lists this ribosomal RNA (497 nucleotides) under uncultured bacterium. RNAcentral's name for it is "partial 16S ribosomal RNA". It matches the Rfam family "Bacterial small subunit ribosomal RNA", at positions 28 to 507 of the family's 1533-position model. The record is from RNAcentral.
GACGAACGCUGGCGGCGUGCCUAAUACAUGCAAGUAGAACGCUGAAGAGAGGAGCUUGCUCUUCUUGGAUGAGUUGCGAACGGGUGAGUAACGCGUAGGUAACCUGCCUUGUAGCGGGGGAUAACUAUUGGAAACGAUAGCUAAUACCGCAUAACAAUGGAUGACACAUGUCAUUUAUUUGAAAGGGGCAAUUGCUCCACUACAAGAUGGACCUGCGUUGUAUUAGCUAGUAGGUGAGGUAAUGGCUCACCUAGGCGACGAUACAUAGCCGACCUGAGAGGGUGAUCGGCCACACUGGGACUGAGACACGGCCCAGACUCCUACGGGAGGCAGCAGUAGGGAAUCUUCGGCAAUGGGGGCAACCCUGACCGAGCAACGCCGCGUGAGUGAAGAAGGUUGUCGGAUCGUAAAGCUCGGUUGUAAGUCAAGAACGGGUGUGAGAGUGGAAAGUUCACACUGUGACGGUAGCUUACCAGAAAGGGACGGCUAACUACGUG